This 290-nucleotide long non-coding RNA is filed under the name Prunus persica (peach). Its description in RNAcentral is "long non-coding RNA (PPER_LNC000913)". Lineage: Eukaryota; Viridiplantae; Streptophyta; Magnoliopsida; Rosales; Rosaceae. The record is from RNAcentral.
CAGAGAAGCACAUGGACCACAGUUUCUUCAGCCCCACAAAAAACACAGCCUCCCAAUUCAGAGAUACUACGAUGAAUCAAAUUAUCCUUGGUGGGUAAAAUAUUCAAGAGAGCGCGCCAGAUGAAUAUACGAACCUUUGGUGGUACUCGGGCUUUCCAAAUCUUCUUCCAGACCUGUUCACAAGCUACAAUGGGUCCUCCAUUCAUGUUGGUGUCGUCCCCGUCUUGCUGGAGCAAAACCCGACGAGCAACUUCAUUGCCGCUCCACACUGUGUACUGACCAUCUCUCUC